GCCCUCAUAGCUCGAAUCGGUAGAGCGAGCGACUCUUAAGUAGUAACCUUCUUCGGUUACAACUUGAUCGCUAGGUUGUGGGUUCGAGCCCCACUGAAGGCU
This 102-nucleotide transfer RNA is filed under the name Papiliotrema laurentii. Its description in RNAcentral is "tRNA-Lys". It matches the Rfam family "tRNA". From Rfam's summary of the family: Transfer RNA (tRNA) molecules are approximately 80 nucleotides in length. Lineage: Eukaryota; Fungi; Basidiomycota; Tremellomycetes; Tremellales; Rhynchogastremaceae. The record is from RNAcentral.